This 374-nucleotide ribosomal RNA is filed under the name uncultured organism. RNAcentral describes it as "partial 16S ribosomal RNA". It matches the Rfam family "Bacterial small subunit ribosomal RNA", at positions 527 to 896 of the family's 1533-position model. The record is from RNAcentral.
GUAGGUGGUAAGCGUUGUCCGGAAUUAUUGGGGCGUAAAGCGCGCGCAGGCGGUCCUUUAAGUCUGAUGUGAAAGCCCACGGGCUCAACCGUGGAGGGUCAUUGGAAACUGGGGGACUUGAGUGCAGAAGAGAAGAGUGGAAUUCCACGUGUAGCGGUGAAAUGCGUAGAGAUGUGGAGGAACACCAGUGGCGAAGGCGACUCUUUGGUCUGUAACUGACGCUGAGGCGCGAAAGCGUGGGGAGCAAACAGGAUUAGAUACCCUGGUAGUCCACGCCGUAAACGAUGAGUGCUAAGUGUUAGAGGGUUUCCGCCCUUUAGUGCUGCAGCAAACGCAUUAAGCACUCCGCCUGGGGAGUACGGCCGCAAAGGCUG